This 81-nucleotide transfer RNA is filed under the name Caenorhabditis elegans. It matches the Rfam family "tRNA". Rfam says of the family: Transfer RNA (tRNA) molecules are approximately 80 nucleotides in length. Their secondary structure includes four short double-helical elements and three loops (D, anti-codon, and T loops). Further hydrogen bonds mediate the characteristic L-shaped molecular structure. tRNAs have two regions of fundamental functional importance: the anti-codon, which is responsible for specific mRNA codon recognition, and the 3' end, to which the tRNAs corresponding amino acid is attached (by aminoacyl-tRNA synthetases). tRNAs cope with the degeneracy of the genetic code in two manners: having more than one tRNA (with a specific anti-codon) for a particular amino acid; and 'wobble' base-pairing, i.e. permitting non-standard base-pairing at the 3rd anti-codon position. Lineage: Eukaryota; Metazoa; Nematoda; Chromadorea; Rhabditida; Rhabditidae. The record is from Rfam by way of RNAcentral.
GGAGGCAUGGCUCAAUGGCAACGAGUUCGACUAUCAAUACGAGAUGCUUCUAUGAUUUGGGUUCAAUCCCCACUGCCUCCG